AUUCCAGCUCCAAUAGCGUAUAUUAAAGUUGUUGUGGUUAAAAAGCUCGUAGUUGGAUCUCGGCGGUCUGAGGGCGGUUCGCUUCAGAGCGCUACUGCCCUAUAGACCGUAGUUUUGCCAGAGGUCUCAGGGUGCUCUUAACCGAGUGUCUUGCGAUGCUGGCAGGUUUACUUUGAAAAAAUUAGAGUGUUCAAAGCAGGCAAUCGCUUGAAUACAUUAGCAUGGAAUAAUAGAAUAGGACUUUGGUUCUAUUUUGUUGGUUUCUAGGACCGAGGUAAUGAUUAAUAGGGACAGUUGGGGGCAUUAGUAUUUAAUUGUCAGAGGUGAAAUUCUUGGAUUUAUGAAAGACUAACUACUGCGAAAGCAUUUGCCAAGGAUGUUUUCAUUG
Molecule: ribosomal RNA, 388 nt
Filed under: Pseudocalanus sp.
Lineage: Eukaryota; Metazoa; Arthropoda; Copepoda; Calanoida; Clausocalanidae
Description: partial small subunit ribosomal RNA
Rfam family: Eukaryotic small subunit ribosomal RNA
Source: RNAcentral